RNAcentral lists this transfer RNA (60 nucleotides) under Plateros sp. UPOL A00485. RNAcentral describes it as "tRNA-Leu". The record is from RNAcentral. Lineage: Eukaryota; Metazoa; Arthropoda; Insecta; Coleoptera; Lycidae.
AUGUGGCAGAAUAGUGCAGUAAAUUUAAGAUUUACUUAAAAAGUAAACCUUUCUUUAGAA